ACGUAUCCAACCUGCCGUCUACUCUUGGACAGCCUUCUGAAGGAAGAUUAAUACAAGAUGGCAUCAUGAGUCCGCAUGUUCACAUGAUUAAAGGUAUUCCGGUAGACGAUGGGGAUGCGUUCCAUUAGAUAGUAGGCGGGGUAACGGCCCACCUAGUCUUCGAUGGAUAGGGGUUCUGAGAGGAAGGUCCCCCACAUUGGAACUGAGACACGGUCCAAACUCCUACGGGAGGCAGCAUG
This 239-nucleotide ribosomal RNA is filed under the name uncultured bacterium. Its description in RNAcentral is "partial 16S ribosomal RNA". It matches the Rfam family "Bacterial small subunit ribosomal RNA", at positions 115 to 353 of the family's 1533-position model. The record is from RNAcentral.